Mercurialis annua (annual mercury) is the source of this 553-nucleotide long non-coding RNA. RefSeq lists it as uncharacterized. The transcript is spliced from 3 exons. Lineage: Eukaryota; Viridiplantae; Streptophyta; Magnoliopsida; Malpighiales; Euphorbiaceae. The record is from RefSeq and is a predicted model, not a curated record.
UUUUCUUCUUCUCUUUUUCUUUAAUUUCUGCCGAACCCUAGCUAACCAAAAGACACCAUUUUAUUAGCUAACCAAAAGACACCAUUUUAUUUUCUUCAUCAAGCCAAAAUAAGACAUGUCAGCGAGCAGAGAGGUCAGUAGACAUGGGGUAGCGAGGAUAUAUCAUUUCAUCGACCACGUCAUUGAUUGGAUUGCGGUCACAGCAUUUACUAUGUGGACCUAACUAGAGGCCAAUUUUGAAGUCCAGAAGUCAGUUGUGUAUGUAUAGUUUCUGACUUCUGUGAAUACUGCAGUAGUGGUCCUGAGUUGACAGAGUUGUAGCCUAGACAGCAGUACAUUUUGAUUGUACAUAUGACUUGCUGUCCUGUUUAUAUGUUUUUGAUAGGCUACAGGUAGUAUGUUUUGUUCACGGCACCAGAUGCCGGUGAUAUGUUUUGAUACACUAACUAACUGAUGUAUAUAGUACCGCGAGUCCAGUUCGUACAGGGUACGAUAACUAGAGCCCGCGAGGUUUUUGAACAGUUAGUGUAAAUACUUGAUUAUAUGUUAUAUA